RNAcentral lists this long non-coding RNA (239 nucleotides) under Ananas comosus (pineapple). RNAcentral describes it as "long non-coding RNA (ACOM_LNC003630)". The record is from RNAcentral. Lineage: Eukaryota; Viridiplantae; Streptophyta; Magnoliopsida; Poales; Bromeliaceae.
CUAAAACAAGAUUGAGCUUGGACAUAAACUCUUAAACAUGAAUCACUACUAGAUAAAUCAUAAUAGUUGGAUCACUUGGCAUAUUUAUAGUGUGGCUUUGAGAUUUUGGGACAUGUAGUAUACUUGAUAGAAUUGCUUUGCAUCUUAGUAUACUUGGCAGUUAUGAUGAACAUAUUCCCCUUGUAUUGGCAUAUUCAAUCAUGAUAGCAUCGAUACACAUCAUGUUUACAUGUGGCAUA